Long non-coding RNA from Nanorana parkeri, 569 nucleotides. RefSeq lists it as uncharacterized. The record is from RefSeq and is a predicted model, not a curated record. The transcript has 3 exons. Lineage: Eukaryota; Metazoa; Chordata; Amphibia; Anura; Dicroglossidae.
UCCUCCUCCUGUGGGCUCUUGUCUGUCUGGGCGGAGGAAAUGUCUCCGGUGUUCAGGAGGAAAUAUUCACCCGGCCGGGAUCUGACCUUCUCCUCCCCAUCAGACGCCAUCUCACCCUCAGCCAUACAGAUGGACGGAGCUGUGACCAGUAUGAAUGGACAUAUAAAGAUCCCUCCAGAUACAACGAGACCAGACUAGCCAGACACAGGGGGUGUAACGUGACUACAACUCCCCCAAUCUUCCCCAAUACCAGGACAUCAGAGAAUGGAAGUCUGAUAAUAGACGGUGUGACUCGGGACAAUGACGGGGUAUACAGAGUGGUAAUACACAACUCUACAGGAAGCUACAUACAGACAGAUGAUUACACCGUCCAUGUAGAAGGAAAUGUCUCCGGUGUUCAGGAGGAAAUAUUCACCCGGCCGGGAUCUGACCUUCUCCUCCCCAUCAGACGCCAUCUCACCCUCAGCCAUACAGAUGGACGGAGCUGUGACCAGUAUGAGUGGUCAUAUGAAGAUCUCCCCAGACACAACGUGACCAGAAUAGCCAGACACAGGGGGUGCAGCGUGACU